GUGCUCAUUAAGCCAGCACAUGGGCUAAAGCUGAAACAAUACAGAGAACACUAGCAUAGACCCUGCCCAAGGAUGACACAAAUUUGUGAGGCAGUCCAUAUUAAA
Gracilinanus agilis (Agile Gracile Mouse Opossum) is the source of this 105-nucleotide small nuclear RNA. The record is from RefSeq and is a predicted model, not a curated record. Lineage: Eukaryota; Metazoa; Chordata; Mammalia; Didelphimorphia; Didelphidae.